GUAGGUGGGCAAGCGUUGUCCGGGAAUUAUUGGGGCGUAAAGCGCGCGCAGGCGGUCCUUUAAAGUCUGAUGUGAAAGCCCACGGCUCAACCGUGGAGGGUCAUUGGAAACUGGGGGACUUGAGUACAGAAGAGGAAAGCGGAAUUCCAAGUGUAGCGGCGAAAUGCGUAGAGAUUUGGAGGAACACCAGUGGCGAAGGCGGCUUUCUGGUCUGUAACUGACGCUGAGGCGCGAAAGCGUGGGGAGCAAACAGGAUUAGAUACCCUGGUAGUCCACGCCGUAAACGAUGAGUGCUAAGUGUUAGGGGGUUUCCGCCCCUUAGUGCUGCAGCUAACGCAUUAAGCACUCCGCCUGGGGAGUACGGCCGCAAGGCUG
This 375-nucleotide ribosomal RNA is filed under the name uncultured organism. RNAcentral describes it as "partial 16S ribosomal RNA". It matches the Rfam family "Bacterial small subunit ribosomal RNA", at positions 526 to 896 of the family's 1533-position model. The record is from RNAcentral.